RNAcentral lists this ribosomal RNA (156 nucleotides) under uncultured bacterium. RNAcentral describes it as "partial 16S ribosomal RNA". It matches the Rfam family "Bacterial small subunit ribosomal RNA", at positions 355 to 528 of the family's 1533-position model. The record is from RNAcentral.
UGGGGAAUAUUGGACAAUGGGCGCAAGCCUGAUCCAGCAACGCCGCGUGAGUGAUGAAGGCCUUAGGGUUGUAAAGCUCUUUUACCCGGGAAGAUAAUGACAGUACCGGGAGAAUAAGCCCCGGCUAACUCCGUGCCAGCAGCCGCGGUAAUAUAU